UCUUAUGAUGUUUGUUGCCAAUGAUAGA
Molecule: non-coding RNA, 28 nt
Filed under: Homo sapiens (human)
Lineage: Eukaryota; Metazoa; Chordata; Mammalia; Primates; Hominidae
Source: RNAcentral